Molecule: RNase P RNA, 410 nt
Filed under: Myxococcales bacterium
Lineage: Bacteria; Pseudomonadati; Myxococcota; Myxococcia; Myxococcales
Description: RNase P RNA component class A
Rfam family: Bacterial RNase P class A
About the family: Ribonuclease P (RNase P) is a ubiquitous endoribonuclease, found in archaea, bacteria and eukarya as well as chloroplasts and mitochondria. Its best characterised activity is the generation of mature 5'-ends of tRNAs by cleaving the 5'-leader elements of precursor-tRNAs.
Source: RNAcentral
CACGCCGUACAGGUGGUCGCCGGCCGCUGCCCCUCGGGGCAGGGGCGGGAGGAAAGUCCGAGCUCCAUAGAGCGCGAUGCCAGGUAACGCCUGGUGGUGGAGACACCAAGGAAAGUGCAACAGAGAGAGACCACCCGCCCGCUCGUUCGCGAGCCGGCGGGCCAGGGUGAAACGGCGGGGUAAGAGCUCACCGCGCCUCCGGUAACGGAGGUGGCACGGCAGACCCCAUCGGGAGCAAGGCCGCAUAGGCGGGCGUUCGGAGGCGCGAGCCUCCGUGAAGGGUGACUCGCCCGAGCUCGUGGGUUGGCUGCUCGAGGCGGCCGGUGACGGUCGCCCUAGAGGAAUGAUCACCACCCGCGCGGCGGCGACGGCGCGCGGGGACAGAACUCGGCUUACGGACGACGUGGACC